UACAGAGGGGGCAAGCGUUGUUCGGAAUUACUGGGCGUAAAGGGCGCGUAGGUGGCUUUCUAAGUUGGACGUGAAAUCCCUGGGCUCAACCCAGGAACUGCGUCCAAGACUGGGAGGCUUGAAUCCGGGAGAGGGAUGCGGAAUUCCAGGUGUAGCGGUGAAAUGCGUAGAUAUCUGGAGGAACACCCGUGGCGAAGGCGGCUCUCUGGGACGUGACUGACGCUGAGGUGCGAAAGCGUGGGGAGCAAACAGG
This 253-nucleotide ribosomal RNA is filed under the name uncultured bacterium. RNAcentral's name for it is "partial 16S ribosomal RNA". It matches the Rfam family "Bacterial small subunit ribosomal RNA", at positions 524 to 776 of the family's 1533-position model. The record is from RNAcentral.